This is a long non-coding RNA of Cuculus canorus (common cuckoo), 5353 nucleotides long. RefSeq lists it as uncharacterized. The transcript has 10 exons. Lineage: Eukaryota; Metazoa; Chordata; Aves; Cuculiformes; Cuculidae. The record is from RefSeq and is a predicted model, not a curated record.
GUGCACCCUGUGAAAACAAAACAAGAAGCAUGUUAUUGCAAUGAUUGAUUUCUUUUUUCGUGAACAGAAAUGUCAAAUCCCCCCUUCCCUCCAAAACAAAACAAAACAAAUCCCACCAGAUUACAAUUGAGCAAAUCACAGGGCCCCUCGAGACUUAGAAAUUGGCACGUCAGUCACUAAUGUGGAAGGGACAGUUUUGCUUCUAGGACUGAUGCCAUGUUCCUAUUCCAUCUGAGUUCAUAUAGCAAAAAGCAGCUGUGUUACUUUUGCUCAGGAGACUUCCCAAAUUGGUCUUUCCUCUGGAAAAAGCUGACAAUGUUGAUCAGGUCAAGGAAAUCACAUAAUUAUUUUUAACAUAAUUCAGAAGCAAGUUUUCCCUACAUAACAGACACAUAAUGAUUCUACAAAACACUCAACAAGAUUAAUUUAACUACUAGGUGAAAAGAAAGAUUAUUUGAUCAGUUUGAAUUUUCAAGUCAGAAUGUUGGAGCUGUCUUUGUCCAAAUGAAUUGCUUGGGUGAAAAUUACUGUGAAGCACUUAUUUUCUGCCCCACAUACUCCUGCUUGUUGCUUUCAAGGCAAAUUUAAAUGCUUUCUGUUUAAAAGAAAAUGCUGAUCUUUUUCGUUACAGAUUCGUUAACUCACCAUGUUCCAUGAUUUAGCAAUAGAGAGUUGAUCUAUGGCUUUCGGUGCUGAGACAGUGAUUUUUGAGAAGUCUUGAAGGUGAUGAAUAUAUGUUGUCGUAUCAGCAUAUGCUAUGCAACUCCACGAUACUCUGACCACAGUCCUCAGGAUUAGUGAAUCCUCUGUCUGAUUCUGUACAUCCUAGCAUUGGACUGCUUAUGAAAAUGAUGUGAUUCCUUCUACUCUAAAAUAACAGAACAACUUCUGCAGUGAUGUCCACCGGUUGUCCUCUGCUAAAAUCUAAGCUAUCAUGCUGUGGGGCAGAAGACAAAAAGGUCUUGUAAUUGUUCCAUUGUCACAGAAGCUUAUCAGAAGUACCAAAGCUGACUACUGAUAUAAAAUGAACCUGCUUUAUGUUAAAUCCCCAAUGAGUCAGUCUGUUCAUGACAGAUAUCACUGCCAGAUAAAUCUGAGCAAGGCUGAACCUUUUUAAGAAGAACACCUCAUUCUCCAGGCUACAGUUGCCAAUUGCAGCAAGCUGUUUGAUGCUUUCAACAUCUGAAACAAACAGGAUUCUGAGGAUUUACGUACUCACGUUUCAGACCAACCACUUGUCUGUUUCCAAAAAUGUAAACAAACACCCAUAUGUGCAAGACAGCCCCAACUGAGCUCAGUUUUCCCCGGAGCCCGACAGAGCAUCCACAGCUAAGGAAAAGGGGUAGUACAUAUACCAGGAUUGAAGAACAUGUACAGUUUUGUGUAUGUCCAAAAACCUAUGUUGUUGAAGUUGUUAUAUAAAGAUUCACAACAUUUUAAUUCACUGCAUCUCAGUGAAGCUCAUGUUUGGGAACUCUGCUUGCUCUAGUUAAGAACCUCUUCUGGCUUCAGCAUCUUUCCAGUGACUCCUCAGCAGUGCCAGUACAACACAUGGGGCCUGGUGAUGAAUCAUCAGGAAGCUGACCUGAGUCGAUUACUUGCCCUAGCACUUAAAAUAAUAUUCAGUGUUUCUUAAUGCUGCCCAGCUGAAACGUUCAGAACUCCAAGACUUCAGACUUAGGUAUUUUCUACAAUUUUGCUAAGUGAACAAACUGCAAACAGCCUCUUAUAAAGAGGCUUCUUCCAACAAGACAUUCCCAAGGGAAAGAGGGAAGAACACUGCUGAAAUAAGCAGGUAGAGAAGCUGUCCAGCAAAAGGGAGAAAGAGUGCGCAAAAAAUAACUAGACCCAGAUGAAUCCACUGUGCUCUACUGUGGUACAAACCAUAGGAGAAACACAAAGAAUAUGAGAAAAAUAAAUCCUGUUUUAUUUAAGCAGUGUUUUCCUGUGAAUACUUCAAGGAUUGCAAAAGAUUUGAAGGACAAAACAGCAUCUUUAAAUCCCAGGAAGAAACCAUGCUUUUUUUUUUAUAUAUAAAGCCAAUUGUAAACCCAGUUGGUUAUGUUUAUCUCCACUCUUUCUUAGCAUUAAAGCCUCACCUGUAGCCACAGUGACCUUGAUGCCUGUCACCAAAUUAGACUUGGAAAAUACACAAAAACUUGCUUGACAAUAUAUAUGAGGAAACCAGGAUAAUUCAAAUGCAGCUAACUCUUAAUUUCUUCCGUUCCCUACUAAUGGAAAUGAAGCCAUGUAGCGGUGAAGUUUAGUAAGUUCAGUUUCCUCAGGCAAUCAUGCUAAUAUUAUCAGAAAGAACUGUCCUUGCCUAUCUGCAAAAUACAUUUCUGAAGCAUAUCUGCACCAGUUCUUCACUGGUUCUCAGCAUUACCAUGUCUCCUCUGGAUCCCACUACACUGUUCAUAUCAGGUUUUUCCCAACUGAAAAAUGCCAAAUGACCUCUGAAGAUCCUUCUCACAGCCCUUCCUGCAUUGCAUUUUUCUAUUUUUUGGGGGAGGAAUCCUGCUGUACUGAGGCAAGUAUUGCCUGACAACCUGAAGGCUUCCAGCAAGGCUCUGCCUGCUGUUCUUUAUGUCCCCAGACAUUCAUACUACAGGUGAAGAGAGGAAAGUGGCAGAUGACACUGUUUUGCAGACAAAAAUUUGCAGUUAGUAACAUCACUUGGUUUGCAAAGCUGCAUAAGGAUCAUACAACAACAUAUCAGAUGUCCACACAAACUGCUGCAUAUGUCCAACUACCAGCAUCACUGUACUGAAACCUGUUUUAUUCAAAAUGAUCUACUAGAAACUCAGAGCCAGCUAUAUAGUGAGAGCUGCGGCUACAGUUAUUAUAGGCAAGUUUACAAUCCAAUCUCUUAGAAGGUUUUGCUUACAAAAGCAUUUUAUUCCUUAGGCUAGUCAGCUUACAAAGUAAAAUAAAAUAAAUCAAAGUCAAUCCUAUACUCAGGAAGACUAUUCAGAAGGAGAGGUAUUUCCUGGUGCAGGCAAUCUCUGAUCCAUAAUUUUGGUAUUGUUGUUAUACAAAAUAUUUUCCACUUGCUGUUUGUCAGAGUUGUAAUUCCUUGGAGCUUUUUCAACAGUGGUUGCUGCACAGAACUUCUAAAAUUAAGACAUCCUCAGAGUAAAUUGUUGGAAGUGAGUUCAAAGAGUAGCAUGUAGGGUGAUAUCCCCUGUGUUACAUCUCAUUUAAUGAAUGCCUGCAAACACAGUCAGAAAGACCUUUCAAAUUAAAUUUCAUAAUUGGGCUUGGAACCUGAAAUCAACUUACCUCCACACAAUCCUGUAACCACAGUAGUGCAGAACCUGGGAGUGGGUGAAAACGCGUAGGCGGAAAGAGAACAUAGUUUUAUUCUGCUUUCUUGGUGCUGGUAAUGUCACAAACAUCCUGCCAUUCUGAUAUUAUUGUGUUAAUGUUAAAAUAUUUGGUUGAUGCAAAUAGGAGUCGAGAUGUAAUAUUCUCUAUAUGGCAUUGCCCAGAGCAAAGUAAAAACACCAUGACAACAAGUAGCCUGCAAGCUGUCGUGUUAUUUGUGUUCAGCUUGCAGAACAGCUUAUAAAAAGCUAUCAGCUGACAGGCAUCCUGAACAUCAAUAGUAAUUGAGAGAGAAAGAAUAGAAGAAUAGCAAAUGGUGAACAUGAAAAAAAGAAAAGUACAAUAAUACACCCUGGGAACAAUUUUUCCAUACACUUUGAGUUUUCUUAAAUGACAAUCAUUUAUUAAAAAAUACAACUUCUCAAACAAAACCUGUGAAUGUAAUCACUUUAGUCUUCAGACAUCAUCAUGCCCCCUAUAGAGAACUUUGCUAAUCAAACGUGACAGCACACAAGAAAGAAUUCUAACAUUCUACUGAACAAAACUAUCAAGUAAUUAUAAAAUUGACGAAGAUGACUCCAGGACUAUGAAGAAAUUUCUUUUAAAGGUACAUAUAUCACAUAGAAAAACGUAUUCAAAGAACAACGAACUUUAUGAGCAAUAGCACAUUGUCCAUGGUGCUGUCAGUAUCUUUAUAGAUAUAUCUUUUAAAAUUAAACGUAAUAGCAGUUAUUCAUCUAUACUUUUUUUAUCCUUAAGUAAUCCUUCACUGUGUAGUAUUUUGGAGUUUAUCUUGUUCCCACAUACAGAAGUGCCAAAUUACUAUGAAGGGAUACACCUUUUUUUGUAUUGGUGAAAGUCAUCACACAGGUCUCUGCUGUGGGGAAAUUCAGUGCCAGGAAACAAACAAUACGCAAGAGGCCACAAAUUACACAGCUGGCUUAGUUUCAGUAGGACUAUUUGUGAGAGUAAAGUGAGUGGCAUUUGAUCCUUUAACUAUUAUUGUUUCAUUUGGAAUUGAAAGUAUAUGAAAUUGCAGCCAGUUGUUUUAAAAUCUGAAUUUUUACACACACAACUCUACCAACCCACUAUAAUUUUAUGUUGUCCCCCAAUAAAUAGACUUUUCUAGAAGUAUGAAAAGUAAAAAAGGUGAUAAAAAGCUAAAAAGACCUACUGAUUAGCAAUUCGAGCUGUCCCAGGGUUUUCUGUAUCCUCUGACACCUAACAUUGGUAUAUAUCAGGAGAUACAGAGACACACUGCUACUACUGGAGAUUCAAAGCUGUAUUUUAGCAUUUAUUCACCUAUGGAAAAAUAAAAUUUGUCAGAAAGGAUGCAGGGCACCAUUAACAUACAUUGCUGCAGAAGGCUAAUUUUUUUCCUCCCGUGUCACAGAUUCAGCAUAACUCGUUUUCUUGAAUGACACAUGAGAUCUAAUAAACUACUUUUACAGUAUGCUGCACCACUUUCUUAAUACCCGAGUUGAAAACAUAAGCUCGUAUUUGGCUUCAUUAAUGAUGUACCCUACUAAAAGUAUGAACAAUUUUGCUGACAGGCCAUCUGUCUGCUGUCAGCUAGGAAUCGAUUGCAUGGCCCUCAACCGCAUCACCUGCAUAGGAACUUCUUGAAGAAUUCAGUGAGCAAUCCCUAGAAAGUAAAGUGCUUAAUUGCGCUUGUCUUAGCUGCCACUGUAAGAAAUUAACACCUACAUUUUUCUCUAGGUGUUAAGAGGGGAAAAAAAAACCAAACCCAAGCAAAACAACAACAAAAAAAAACCCCGUUGAUACAUUAUUCAUGUCAGGGAAAGAGAGAGGCAAGAAAGUAAAUAAACAGUCCAUCAAGGGUGAGUUUUCUGGUUUGGGGCUUAAUGAAUAUACCACUGAAGUUCACAACUCUGCUUCUCUGUAGUUUUUCAAAAUACAAACUGUAGAUUAUCUUAGGAAAUACUGCUUUGAAAGCACAGGGCCAUCGAUAUAAUUAUGAUUCACUGAGGAAAAUCAAAAUUGCCAUACUACAGUACAUAGUUUU